This 254-nucleotide ribosomal RNA is filed under the name uncultured bacterium. Its description in RNAcentral is "partial 16S ribosomal RNA". It matches the Rfam family "Bacterial small subunit ribosomal RNA", at positions 524 to 776 of the family's 1533-position model. The record is from RNAcentral.
UACGUAGGGCGCGAGCGUUGUCCGGAUUUAUUGGGCGUAAAGAGCUCGUAGGCGGUUCGACAAGUCGGGUGUGAAAACUCCGGGCUCAACCCGGAGACGCCACCCGAUACUGUCGUGACUGGAGUCCGGUAGGGGAGUGGGGAAUUCCUGGUGUAGCGGUGAAAUGCGCAGAUAUCAGGAGGAACACCGGUGGCGAAGGCGCCACUCUGGGCCGGUACUGACGCUGAGGAGCGAAAGCGUGGGUAGCAAACAGG